Molecule: non-coding RNA, 72 nt
Organism: Candidatus Peribacteria bacterium
Lineage: Bacteria; Candidatus Peregrinibacteriota; Candidatus Peribacteria
Source: Rfam
GGCCCCAUCGUCUAACGGUUAGGACAGCGGGUUUUCAAUCCGUUAACCAGAGUUCGACUCUCUGUGGGGCUG